Molecule: ribosomal RNA, 253 nt
Filed under: uncultured bacterium
Lineage: Bacteria
Description: partial 16S ribosomal RNA
Rfam family: Bacterial small subunit ribosomal RNA
Source: RNAcentral
UACGUAGGGUGCGAGCGUUAAUCGGAAUUACUGGGCGUAAAGCGUGCGCAGGCGGUUUUGUAAGCCAGAUGUGAAAGCCCCGGGCUUAACCUGGGAAUGGCAUUUGGGACUGCAAGGCUUGAGUGCGGCAGAGGAGACUGGAAUUCCGGGUGUAGCGGUGAAAUGCGUAGAUAUCCGGAGGAACACCGGUGGCGAAGGCGGCUUCCUGGACCGACACUGACGCUGAGGCGCGAAAGCUAGGGGAGCAAACGGG